Molecule: RNA transcript, 1757 nt
Organism: Bombyx mori (domestic silkworm)
Lineage: Eukaryota; Metazoa; Arthropoda; Insecta; Lepidoptera; Bombycidae
Gene name: carbonyl reductase [NADPH] 3
Exons: 4
Source: RefSeq, a predicted model, not a curated record
UUGGCUAAAUACUUAUCUGACUAUCUGACGAUUAUGUACUGACUGUACGCUAAGGCGAAAUUUGCGCUAAGGCGUUUCAAAUUUAAAUCUGAAGUAAUUAAAAGAAAUUGCCCACAAUGUAUGUACUUAAAAUUGUAAUAACUUUAACACGUUCUCAAAUCAAUUAAAACCUCUCUAACGUCUGAUAAACUAAUAAAUCUUUAAUAUGCUUUAUUAAAGUAAUUGUUUAUUAAGCUAGGUACCUACUACAUAAACUUGACUUUUAUGACAAAAUAUCCUUUGCUGUCUUACUUUUGUUAAAAUCUGUUCAUAGUAAUAAAAUAAAAUAAUAUUAAAUAAUUAAAACAUAGAUAGAAAAUAGCUGGUAGGUGAAGUGAAUUACGAAAAUACAACUCAACCAAUGGAUAUUGGUAUCUAUAUCUAUAUAUACAAAACAAUGUAUAUUGUAAUAGUUUAACCUUGUGUUAUCUGCUUAUCAAUAUUUUUCUACGUAUUUUUAACGUAAAAACAUAUCUCCAAAACUGUAUGUAUACCUACAUCUGUGAUGUAAAUUUUCAAACAUGUCAAACGAUUAUAUAGCAAUUGUUACGGGUGCUAAUAAAGGAUUAGGAUUUGCUAUAGUGAAAGAUCUUUGUGAAAAUUUUAAAGGUACUGUAUAUCUUACAUCACGUGACGAAACCCGUGGAAAUGAAGCAUGUGAAAUACUGAGAAAAUUAGGACUAAAACCAGAAUAUCAUCAAUUAGACGUAUCCGACCCUCAGAGUGUCCAAAGAUUUGCAUCUUACAUUCAAAACAAGCGUGUUGAGAUUUUGAUUAACAACGCCGGCAUACUGUUUUUAAAAGAUGCAAAGGAACCAAAAUUAUUUCAAGCUGAACAGACAAUUUUAACUAACUACUUUGCGUUGGUUAAUUUCUGUGAAGCAAUAUUGCCUUGCGUCAAAGAAGGCGGGAAAAUCAUUAACGUUUCAAGUUCUUCCGGGCACCUCUCAAGAAUCCCCUCGGCAGAUUUACGAAAAAGAUUCAUGUGCGAAAAUUUGACACUAAACGAACUCAAUUUAUUGAUGCGCAACUAUAUGGAAGCUGUAAAGAACAAUGAAGAAAUAGAUGAAGGCUGGGGAGAUUCGCCUUACGUUAUUUCAAAAGUAGGAGUUAAUGCAUAUACGUUUAUACUCAAUAGAAAAUUAUCAUCCAACGGUAUUAUCGUGAAUUGCGUGCAUCCAGGCUACGUGAUGUCGGACAUGACAAGAGGAGCCGGAAACGUUAGUCCGGAACAAGCCGCGAAAUUGGUGACGGAAAUAGCACUCAAUUCAAAAACCGGCGGUCUGUACAUAUGGCAUAACGGGGACACCGUCAAUUGGAAUGGCCCUGACCCACGCGGGUUUAUAGACGGGAAAAUUUAAGCAAGGUGAGACGGCAGGCUUCUGCAUUACAAGUUGUCGCAAAAAAAAACAAGGAAGAAAUGAAACAAAAUUCCCAGAAAGGAUUGCGAGCGGAGGGGUUUGCAUGAAAAGAACGAAUUUAACAUCUUGCUUUUAAUUACUUUCAUAUUAACGUCACUAUAAGGUACAAAUGGAACAGCGAGUCAACGGCAUCUCAUUUAUAAUAUAGAAAAUAUAAUCUGUCCACAACACGGUUCACGAUCCGGUAAUAAUAAUAUAAUAACGAACAUACAAAUAUUGUGAGGCGAAACGAUAUAAAAUAUUGCAACGACCGGGCCGAAUUCGAAUAAAUAAUAAUUUCCAUUAAAUAAAACAAAA